This 269-nucleotide ribosomal RNA is filed under the name uncultured prokaryote. Its description in RNAcentral is "partial 16S ribosomal RNA". It matches the Rfam family "Bacterial small subunit ribosomal RNA", at positions 26 to 286 of the family's 1533-position model. The record is from RNAcentral.
AGAUUGAACGCUGGCGGCAUGCUUUACACAUGCAAGUCGAACGGCAGCACGGGGGGCAACCCUGGUGGCGAGCGGCGAACGGGUGAGUAAUGCAUCGGAACCGUAUCCUUGAGUGGGGGGAUAACGUCAGCGAAAAGGUUGUGCUAAUUACCGCAUAAGCUACUGAGGAGGAAAGGCGGGGGACCGAAAGGCCUCGCGCUGAACGGAGCGGCCGAUGGUCCGAUUAGCUAGUUGGUGAGGUAAAGGCUUACCAAGGCGACGAUCGGUAG